RNAcentral lists this ribosomal RNA (504 nucleotides) under uncultured Bacillus sp. RNAcentral's name for it is "partial 16S ribosomal RNA". The record is from RNAcentral. Lineage: Bacteria; Bacillati; Bacillota; Bacilli; Caryophanales; Bacillaceae.
CACGUAGUUAGCCGUGGCUUUCUGGUUAGGUACCGUCAAGGUACCGCCCUAUUCGAACGAUACUUGUUCUUCCCUAACAACAGAGCUUUACGAGCCGAAACCCUUCAUCACUCACGCGGCGUUGCUCCGUCAGACUUUCGUCCAUUGCGGAAGAUUCCCUACUGCUGCCUCCCGUAGGAGUCUGGGCCGUGUCUCAGUCCCAGUGUGGCCGAUCACCCUCUCAGGUCGGCUACGCAUCGUCGCCUUGGUGAGCCGUUACCUCACCAACUAGCUAAUGCGCCGCGGGCCCAUCCCGUAGUGAUAGCCGGAGCCAUCUUUACAAGAGGACCAUGAGAUCCUCAAGAUUAUCCGGUAUUAGCACCGAUUUCUCGAUGUUAUCCCAGUCUACAGGGCAGGUUGCCCACGUGUUACUCACCCGUUCGCCGCUAACGUCAGGGAGCAAGCCUACCAUCCCGUCCGCUCGACUUGCUAUGUAUUAGGCCACGGCCGCCAGCGUUCGUCUCG